RNAcentral lists this non-coding RNA (131 nucleotides) under Globisporangium iwayamae DAOM BR242034. Lineage: Eukaryota; Oomycota; Peronosporomycetes; Pythiales; Pythiaceae. The record is from RNAcentral.
UUGAGGGUCGCAGUAUGUUGAGCGAGGUCACUAUUCCCAGGAUGUGGAUGGCGCGUCCGUUUCAAACCAGGAGUGGACAUUGGCGCGUUGCCGUAGGGCAGUGCGUCGAGGUCACUAAGGAAGGGUGCAUC